This 982-nucleotide ribosomal RNA is filed under the name Salmonella enterica. Its description in RNAcentral is "partial 23S ribosomal RNA". Lineage: Bacteria; Pseudomonadati; Pseudomonadota; Gammaproteobacteria; Enterobacterales; Enterobacteriaceae. The record is from RNAcentral.
GGUUAAGCGACUAAGCGUACACGGUGGAUGCCCUGGCAGUCAGAGGCGAUGAAGGRCGUGCUAAUCUGCGAUAAGCGCCGGUAAGGUGAUAUGAACCGUUAUAACCGGCGAUWYCCGAAUGGGGAAACCCAGUGUGACUCGUCACACUAUCAUUAACUGAAUCCAUAGGUUAAUGAGGCGAACCGGGGGAACUGAAACAUCUAAGUACCCCGAGGAAAAGAAAUCAACCGAGAUUCCCCCAGUAGCGGCGAGCGAACGGGGAGGAGCCCAGAGCCUGAAUCAGCAUGUGUGUUAGUGGAAGCGUCUGGAAAGGCGCGCGAUACAGGGUGACAGCCCCGUACACAAAAGCGCAYRUGCUGUGAGCUCGAUGAGUAGGGCGGGACACGUGGUAUCCUGUCUGAAUAUGGGGGGACCAUCCUCCAAGGCUAAAUACUCCUGACUGACCGAUAGUGAACCAGUACCGUGAGGGAAAGGCGAAAAGAACCCCGGCGAGGGGAGUGAAAAAGAACCUGAAACCGUGUACGUACAAGCAGUGGGAGCCCCACCACUAAGCCAGUGGUGAACUCCACAUACGCAUCCUUUGCUGAGGAUACGGUUAACGGAGCGCAAGCGACGUUCAACCGCAAAAGAAGCAGAGGGGGCUUAGUGGUGGGGUGACUGCGUACCUUUUGUAUAAUGGGUCAGCGACUUAUAUUCUGUAGCAAGGUUAACCGAAUAGGGGAGCCGGAGGGAAACCGAGUCUUAAYYGGGCGUUAAGUUGCAGGGUAUAGACCCGAAACCCGGUGAUCUAGCCAUGGGCAGGUUGAAGGUUGGGUAACACUAACUGGAGGACCGAACCGACUAAUGUUGAAAAAUUAGCGGAUGACCUGUGGCUGGGGGUGAAAGGCCAAUCAAACCGGGAGAUAGCUGGUUCUCCCCGAAAGCUAUUUAGGUAGCGCCUCGUGAAUUCAUCUCCGGGGGUAGAGCACUGUUUCGGCUAGGG